RNAcentral lists this long non-coding RNA (199 nucleotides) under Elaeis guineensis (African oil palm). RNAcentral describes it as "long non-coding RNA (EGUI_LNC048795)". Lineage: Eukaryota; Viridiplantae; Streptophyta; Magnoliopsida; Arecales; Arecaceae. The record is from RNAcentral.
AUCGAGAUAACGAGUGAAUGGUGCUGGUUCUGCUCCCAUGAUUUCAUAGUUGCUAUUAAGUAGAAACUUUAAUGAUGGGAUCCAGACCGUUUCUUUAGCACCAUCUAUUGCAACUAAGGAUUGGUUUGACUAGACCAUCGAGUUAGCUGGUGCACUGGGAGCAUGAUCAUGUGGCUCAAGGACCCAAUAAGUUGGCCAA